Molecule: RNA transcript, 613 nt
Organism: Tripterygium wilfordii
Lineage: Eukaryota; Viridiplantae; Streptophyta; Magnoliopsida; Celastrales; Celastraceae
Exons: 2
Source: RefSeq, a predicted model, not a curated record
GACAACUGCCCCUUCCAGUCAACCAGAUCAACGAGCUUUAGCCUCCACAUUCCUCCAUCUCUGAGCGAAAUCUCAGACUUGGGAGGUUUCUUUGAGAGGAAGCGAUAUGUGUCCGUUGAGGUUCAUUAUGACAUUCCUCUAUGCAACUCUUGUUGGCUUUUUCGUCCUCAAAAACCUCAAAUGUCAACAACCCAUCAACGUCACCUCCUUGAAUCAUCCAAUUAACGGAUUCUCUAAGUUCAGGUUUGGUCGAUUAUGGAAUCGGGUUGUUGGGAUUUUGUGGAUAUGGCUAGUGGUCGCUACCUGUGGAGGCAUUUGACCUCAUCAUCAUUGUCUCCCAAGCGUUCCAGUUGAUUUGAUUUCUUUAGUUUCAAGAUUGUGCCUUUCAGGUCUAUAUUUUCUUUGUACUAAGUAAUUGUGAAAUUGAUUCCUUUUGGGGAUCUCUUUAUCGAAUAUUUCAUUAGAUACAUGAAAUACUUGAGCUGUUGUUGUAUAGAUCUUGCUUAUGUUGUUGUAUAGAUCCAAGGCUAUUCGGAUACUGAUGUUAUGUCGCAUGCUUAGUGUAUGCUUUUCAAUUGGGAUUAGCCAAGUCUUGAGGUUGUUCUCAUGUUCA